AAUAAUAAAGUGAAUAAUUCAAUAUGCAUAAAGUUUGCCUCUCCAGAAAGUGAAUAAUUCAACACCUUGUUCCACGCACAAACAUGCCCAUAUAUUUCAUCUGCACUAAUACAUACUAAGUCUAAUAUUAAACAUAAAUCUAUUACAUCACAUUAGCUUCUACAAGGCAGUGGCAAAAUAGUCCUAUGGAACUGGUGACAUAAAACUUGCUUCAAUGGAAAUGGGGCCACUAAGAUGCUCUAAAUGUUGUCGUUGAGGAGCUGGCAGAGCCUCAAGCGCACCAUCUAGGAUAUUACUAUGCCUCGGUGUCGAACUCUUUCCUUUUGUUUGAUUUCGAUAGUGCCUGCAUGCGCACCGUAACAAAUAUUAAUUAUAUAACAAAAAAGUAAUUAUGAACAAAACAUUGUCCUCAAUGUUAUCAUUUUCGGAAUCCACGAACAAAACAUCUUCCAUAUUCUCUUCUACAAAACAUAAACACUCACCCGUUAUUUUUCGAAAAUGUACAAAUGUAAAUAAUGUGACAGAGAGGGAGCAUCUUAGGAAAAUUCUAGUUCGGGAUUUCAGCACCACUUUGUUCGUCCUUGAAGAAACUCAAAGAUCCCUCUAUGCAUUCUACAAAAUUAAACUCUCAUUCUUUGUAUAUUUGUUUUUGCACAAUAUUUUUAUAAUUCAAAAG
Molecule: long non-coding RNA, 676 nt
Filed under: Olea europaea (common olive)
Lineage: Eukaryota; Viridiplantae; Streptophyta; Magnoliopsida; Lamiales; Oleaceae
Description: long non-coding RNA (OEUR_LNC000863)
Source: RNAcentral